GACGAACGCUGGCGGCGUGCUUAACACAUGCAAGUCGAACGGAGUUACGUAUGAAGUAUUUCGGUACGGACUAUGUAACUUAGUGGCGAACGGGUGAGUAACACGUGGGCAACCUGCCCUUAACCGGGGGAUAACAUUGUGAAAACAGUGCUAAUACCGCAUAACAGAGUAUCGGGCAUCCGAUAUUUUUAAAAGGAGCAAUCCGGUUUUGGAUGGGCCCGCGUCCAAUUAGCUAGUUGGUGAGGUAACGGCUCACCAAGGCUACGAUUGGUAGCCGAACUGAGAGGUUGAUCGGCCACAUUGGGACUGAGACACGGCCCAGACUCCUACGGGAGGCAGCAGUGGGGAAUAUUGGGCAAUGGGCGAAAGCCUGACCCAGCGACGCCGCGUGAAGGAUGAAGGUCUUCGGAUUGUAAACUUCUUUUGAUCAGGGAAGAAAGAAAUGACGGUACCUGAAGAACAAAGCCACGGCUAACUACGUG
Molecule: ribosomal RNA, 482 nt
Filed under: uncultured bacterium
Lineage: Bacteria
Description: bacterial SSU rRNA
Rfam family: Bacterial small subunit ribosomal RNA
Source: RNAcentral